This 968-nucleotide long non-coding RNA is filed under the name Rattus norvegicus (Norway rat). RNAcentral describes it as "long non-coding RNA 134 (Lnc134)". The record is from RNAcentral. Lineage: Eukaryota; Metazoa; Chordata; Mammalia; Rodentia; Muridae.
GUCACGUUAGGAGGCAGAGCCGUGAAGUCCUGUGUACCUGAGAGCUCAGAAAAAGAGAGAAGAAAAUGUUUAGAUGGGUGGAGUGGGGAGUGCCGCGCGCCGAGGCUGGCAGUCCCCACGCAGUAUGGCAGGCGGCAAGUGGUUUCCCGAUAAACCGAAAAACACAACUUCUUCAAGAAUUUCUUUGAGAGUGUAACCCCACACUUGGGAGACUAAAGCAGGAAACAGCAAGUUCAAGGGGAGGCCCUGUCCCGAAAACAGUAACAAUUAAAGCUGAAAAUGUAGCUGGCAUGUGAAAGGCCCAAGACAGGGUGUUAUACAGUAUAUGCUGGUCUUGAAUUCACCAUGUAACUGAGGAUGACCCUAAACUUCUCAUCUUUCUGCGUUUACCUCCUCCGAAGUGCUGGAAUUACAAGCAUGUGCCACCAGGAUCAGUUUAUGCCAGUGCAAUGGAUUAAAUCCAGGACCCUGUGUUUCCUCUACUGAGCUAUACCCACAGCCAUGCAUUUUCAGUCAGGAAAAAAAAACAAAACAAAAACAGAAUUCCAGAAAUGAUGCAGGUGUUUGAGAAUGAUGGCGCCCUCCACUGGCCAACUUCAUGACCCAGUGACCUGAUUUGCUGGGCACUUACAGUCACAAGAGAUCAACCUGGGACAGUGCUCUAAGCUCACUGUCUAAUGCCAAUGAAGAUUACUGGUGUCGUGUCAUGUGGAGGUAGAAGCAGGCUUUAUUAAGAAUUAUUGCAUAAGGUUGGAGUGGUGGCUCAGCAAGAAUUAUACAUAGGAUUAGAGUAGUGGCUCAGAGGUUAAAAACAUUGGCUGCCCUUCCAGAGGUCCUGAGUUCAAUUCUCAGAAAUCACAUGGUGGCUCAGAACCAUCUAUAAUGAGAUCUGAUGCCCUCUUCUGGUGUAUCUGAAGACAGCUACAGUGUACAAACAUAAAUUAAAAUAAAUAAAUCUUUAAAGAUGA